UGCGGCGCUAUGCGCCGUCGGGUGCACGACGUGUUCACCCGAAUAUGGGGCUGUAGCUCAGCUGGGAGAGCACUGCUUUGCAAGCAGGGGGUCAGCGGUUCGAUCCCGCUCAGCUCCACCAUUCGAUUGGUGUUGAACUGGCGGAUAUUAUCCUUGGAGAAAAAAUAGGUUUGCAUCGUCUCCAUCGUGAGACGGAUGCCUGUUCUGCUUACAUUGUGAAGAGAAGAUAUGUCUGGAAGCUUCCAGGUGUUGAUGGUGAUCGAAAGGUUGCCUGAGACGUCCGAGCCCAGUCCCGAAGAAGCCAUGGAUGGUCUAGCCGACCGGAAGUGGAAGAGGGUCUGGAGGUAGGAGGGAAGUCUUGUCCUUUGAGGCAUGAUCGUUGUUGGGGUGUUCUUCGGAACGCGCCUCUGAUGGUCGUGUCGGAUUGGUGUUGCCUGACCGCGCAUCACCGGACAGAUCUCGAGAAGCUGGUCUUAAGAUAUGGCCUCGAAGUCGCUCGGCGUGACUUUUGUGAGGACCAUAUCGAACACGUCGAUGGCAUUGUUAGAGAGCGCGAUUGUAAAAGGUAAUCGCGCAUAGCUGGUCUGGCGACUGCAAGGUCUCCGGAUUUUGGCUGCUGCGGCAUACGAAAGUUGCCCGGAUGGCCAGAUUUGGCACCCCUUCGAGCGCAAGCGAGGAGGAUAGGUU
This 687-nucleotide unclassified non-coding RNA is filed under the name uncultured Sinorhizobium sp. Its description in RNAcentral is "partial 16S-23S ribosomal RNA intergenic spacer". The stretch from base 47 to 118 matches the Rfam family "tRNA". Lineage: Bacteria; Pseudomonadati; Pseudomonadota; Alphaproteobacteria; Hyphomicrobiales; Rhizobiaceae. The record is from RNAcentral.